GCUAUUUCUUCAUGGUAUCAGAGCUUGGUUGAUGCCUUCAUUUAUGCUAUUUCUUCAAAGAACCUAUGGGAAGAGAUUAAGGAGAGAUUUAGAAAGAGCAAUGGACCUCUCCUAUACCAGCUGAAAAGAGAGAUAAGUACUUUAACUCCAGCAAAUACAUCUGUUUCAGUGUAUUUUACUAAGCUCAAAAGAUUGGGGGAUGAAUUGGCAUAUCUCAAGCCUCUACCAGUAUGUGAGUGUAAUGCGGCAAAACAAAUGGAUGAAAUUACCAGUGAAAAUAAACUUAUCCAAUUUUUGAUGGGGUUGAAUGAAACUUAUGACCAUGUCAGAAACCAGAUCGUUCUCAUGGAUCCAUUACCUGGCUUCAACAAGGCAUAUUCCAUGGUGCUAAAAGUAGAGAAACAGAGAGAGAUCCAUAUUGAUACAGCAGAAGAGUUUAACUCAGUAAUGGCAGUAAAGGGACAAUUUCAGAAAGAUAAAUUUCAGCGCAAGAAAAAGGAGUUUGGGAAGAAAGAAACCAGAACCUGUUAUUACUACAAUGCAAGUGGUCACACUAGGGACACAUGCUUCAAGCUUCAUGGCUGUCCAAAAUGGUUUACUGAACUAAAACAAAAAAAAGGCAAAGCUAAGGUAAAUAUGGCAGCUAAUGCAUAUGAGAAGGUACCUGAAUGUGAGAGCAAAGCUGAACACAAGAAUGAGGCAGCAGGGGUUGACUGGGGAAGUAUGAUCCAGCUUGAGAUUGCCAAGUAUAUGCAGUACCAAAAUCCUGCAGCAAACGAGGCAAGCUGCGCUAAUUUUACUGGUUAUGCAGGUCAGAAUCCAACUUACUACUCUUCUAGCAGACAUGGUAAGGACUGUGGUUUGUGGAUAGUGGAUUCAGGAGCCUCCAUACAUAUGUGUCAUGAUUUUUCUCUCUUCCAAAACCCCACAAAGUUGAACAACCACUGUUUUGUUACCCUACUAGAUAGAAAUUCAAAACCAGUAAAAUACAAAGGAAACAUAAAAAUAAACCCACACCUACACCUCUCUCAUGUACUGCACACACCAAGCUUCAAAUACAAUUUGAUAUCUGUUAGCGCACUUACCAAGCAAUCUAACAUAAAUGUCCAUUUCUUCACUAACCAUUGCAUUUUGCAGGACCCAGUGACUGAGAAAGUAGUAGCAAGAGGAGAAUUGCAGGGGGGGUUAUACAUAUUGAAGGGGAAUAAGUGUAACCAUGCAUGAGGUCUAUGAAAACAAUUGUAAUCCUGCUUCUAAAAUCAGUUGUACUCAACCCAAAUUUCAAAUGAAUGAAGUUCAUCAAACAUUUGCCUCAUUUAAUUCUUAUGAACUGUGG
This 1336-nucleotide unclassified non-coding RNA is filed under the name Hevea brasiliensis (rubber tree). The record is from RNAcentral. Lineage: Eukaryota; Viridiplantae; Streptophyta; Magnoliopsida; Malpighiales; Euphorbiaceae.